RNAcentral lists this ribosomal RNA (1346 nucleotides) under uncultured bacterium. Its description in RNAcentral is "partial 16S ribosomal RNA". It matches the Rfam family "Bacterial small subunit ribosomal RNA", at positions 28 to 1381 of the family's 1533-position model. The record is from RNAcentral.
GACGAACGCUGGCGGCGUGCUUAACACAUGCAAGUCGAACGGAAAGGCCCCGCUUUUGUGGGGUGCUCGAGUGGCGAACGGGUGAGUAACACGUGAGUAACCUGCCCUUGACUUUGGGAUAACUUCAGGAAACUGGGGCUAAUACCGGAUAGGAGCUCCUGCUGCAUGGUGGGGGUUGGAAAGUUUCGGCGGUUGGGGAUGGACUCGCGGCUUAUCAGCUUGUUGGUGGGGUAGUGGCUUACCGAGGCUUUGACGGGUAGCCGGCCUGAGAGGGUGACCGGCCACAUUGGGACUGAGAUACGGCCCAGACUCCUACGGGAGGCAGCAGUGGGGAAUAUUGCACAAUGGGCGGAAGCCUGAUGCAGCAACGCCGCGUGCGGGAUGACGGCCUUCGGGUUGUAAACCGCUUUCGCCUGUGACGAAGCGUGAGUGACGGUAAUGGGUAAAGAAGCACCGGCUAACUACGUGCCAGCAGCCGCGGUGAUACGUAGGGUGCGAGCGUUGUCCGGAUUUAUUGGGCGUAAAGGGCUCGUAGGUGGUUGAUUGCGUCGGAAGUGUAAUCUUGGGGCUUAACCCUGAGCGUGCUUUCGAUACGGGUUGACUUGAGGAAGGUAGGGGAGAAUGGAAUUCCUGGUGGAGCGGUGGAAUGCGCAGAUAUCAGGAGGAACACCAGUGGCGAAGGCGGUUCUCUGGGCCUUUCCUGACGCUGAGGAGCGAAAGCGUGGGGAGCGAACAGGCUUAGAUACCCUGGUAGUCCACGCUGUAAACGGUGGGUACUAGGUGUGGGGUCCAUUCCACGGGUUCCGUGCCGUAGCUAACGCUUUAAGUACCCCGCCUGGGGAGUACGGCCGCAAGGCUAAAACUCAAAGGAAUUGACGGGGCCCCGCACAAGCGGCGGAGCAUGCGGAUUAAUUCGAUGCAACGCGUAGAACCUUACCUGGGUUUGACAUGGGUCGGGAGUGCUCAGAGAUGGGUGUGCCUCUUUUGGGGUCGGUUCACAGGUGGUGCAUGGCUGUCGUCAGCUCGUGUCGUGAGAUGUUGGGUUAAGUCCCGCAACGAGCGCAACCCUUGUUCACUGUUGCCAGCACGUUAUGGUGGGGACUCAGUGGAGACCGCCGGGGUCAACUCGGAGGAAGGUGGGGAUGACGUCAAGUCAUCAUACCCCUUAUGUCCAGGGCUUCACGCAUGCUACAAUGGCUGGUACAGAGAGUGGCGAGCCUGUGAGGGUGAGCGAAUCUCGGAAAGCCGGUCUCAGUUCGGAUUGGGGUCUGCAACCCGACCUCAUGAAGUCGGAGUCGCUAGUAAUCGCAGAUCAGCAACGCUGCGGUGAAUACGUUCCCGGGGCU